CCACUUCCUUGGUUUGUUUUUGUUUUUGACACAAGGUUUGGGUCUACUUAUGUGAUCCCUGACUCACCUUGACCUCACUCUAGCUCAGGUUGGCUUCACACUCAUGAUCCCCCUGCCUCAGCCUCUUGAAUGCUGAGAUUACAGCAUGCACCAGCAUGUCAGUCUUCUGCAUGGAUCUUCAUGGGAAAGGAACCCUUCCAACAGUAAGCACUACCACAGACCUGCACCCUAAACCAAAGCAAGCUUUGCACGGGGCCCAAGGACACUUGAUGAAUGUUCCCUACCUUCUAAGGGUGACAUUAGAUCUUCCCAGAGAAUGUUUCUUAAUGUCACCAGCUGUGUCAUAUUCCAGGCGGGGUCAUUAGUCAUUCCCGGUGCCACUGUGCUAUAUACAUCACUCAAGACUAAGCUGUUUCUAUGUUCCUCAGAACUCCAAGCUUAAGGACAAGAAUCAUGGUUCCAUCUCCGCCUUCAACGCAGACUCAAGCAGACGGUGACACGGGAUUUCUAGCGAGGUUUCCUAGGGAUGCAGGCUCGCAGAGGAUGCGAGACGAGGGGCCAUUCUGGUUGAUUUGGAGUCUCUGUGAGGGAAGGAGAAGGAACACCAAGGAGCCAUGCCUUCUCAAGAGUCAUCUAGCUAGAAGCCAGGGGACCAGGAUGCUGCCGGUGAAUCCCAGGUACCCAUCUGCAAAGUCGGACCAUUGUGGAGAAUAACGGGGCCUCUGAAAGCCCCUGCAAGCCCAUGCCUUCGGAAUUAAACCACUCUGAAAACCCCUUUAAUCUAUAUUGCCUCGUCCUU
Rattus norvegicus (Norway rat) is the source of this 799-nucleotide non-coding RNA. Lineage: Eukaryota; Metazoa; Chordata; Mammalia; Rodentia; Muridae. The record is from RefSeq and is a predicted model, not a curated record.